RNAcentral lists this transfer RNA (83 nucleotides) under Nematostella vectensis (starlet sea anemone). It matches the Rfam family "tRNA". From Rfam's summary of the family: Transfer RNA (tRNA) molecules are approximately 80 nucleotides in length. Their secondary structure includes four short double-helical elements and three loops (D, anti-codon, and T loops). Further hydrogen bonds mediate the characteristic L-shaped molecular structure. tRNAs have two regions of fundamental functional importance: the anti-codon, which is responsible for specific mRNA codon recognition, and the 3' end, to which the tRNAs corresponding amino acid is attached (by aminoacyl-tRNA synthetases). tRNAs cope with the degeneracy of the genetic code in two manners: having more than one tRNA (with a specific anti-codon) for a particular amino acid; and 'wobble' base-pairing, i.e. permitting non-standard base-pairing at the 3rd anti-codon position. The record is from Rfam by way of RNAcentral. Lineage: Eukaryota; Metazoa; Cnidaria; Anthozoa; Actiniaria; Edwardsiidae.
ACCAGGAUGGCCGAGUGGUUAAGGCGUUGGACUUAAGUUCCAAUGUACGAAUGUACGCGUGGGUUCGAACCCCACUCCAGGUA